GAUGAACGCUAGCGAUAGGCUUAACACAUGCAAGUCGAGGGGCAGCAUGGUCUUAGCUUGCUAAGACUGAUGGCGACCGGCGCACGGGUGCGUAACGCGUAUGCAACUUGCCUCACAGAGGGGGAUAACCCGUCGAAAGACGGACUAAUACCGCGUACACUUGGGAUAGGGCAUCCUGACCCAAGGAAAUGAAAUUCGCUGUGAGAUAGGCAUGCGUCCCAUUAGCUAGUUGGUGAGGUAACGGCUCACCAAGGCGACGAUGGGUAGGGGAACUGAGAGGUUGAACCCCCACACUGGUACUGCGACACGGACCAGACUCCUACGGGAGGCAGCAGUGAGGAAUAUUGGUCAAUGGGCGAGAGCCUGAACCAGCCAAGUCGCGUGAAGGAUGACUGUCUUAUGGAUUGUAAACUUCUUUUAUACGGGAAUAACAAGAGCCACGUGUGGCUCCCUGCAUGUACCGUAUGAAUAAGCAUCGGCUAACUCCGUG
Molecule: ribosomal RNA, 490 nt
Filed under: uncultured bacterium
Lineage: Bacteria
Description: partial 16S ribosomal RNA
Rfam family: Bacterial small subunit ribosomal RNA
Source: RNAcentral